Aquila chrysaetos chrysaetos is the source of this 1540-nucleotide long non-coding RNA. RefSeq lists it as uncharacterized. Lineage: Eukaryota; Metazoa; Chordata; Aves; Accipitriformes; Accipitridae. The transcript has 2 exons. The record is from RefSeq and is a predicted model, not a curated record.
GGAGACACGGCAGCGCUGAUGGAUGUGCCGUGCACCAGGCGCAGACUUCUCAGGGAUGCUAGCUAGGGAUGUAUCUCCUUAAACCGAAGGCAAAGAGAAGCACAGGGAAGCUCAGGACUUCGGAUGCUCAGCAGGGAAAGGCCCAUCAGGAAUGCACUUUGGAAGCAGGAGGAUGACUAGGAGGAGAAAACAGGACAUGAAGCCGUGGUCACGUCCUCUCACCCCUGCCUGAGGUUGGGGCUUGUCUCCCCGCAUGAGGUGAAGAGGAAAGGGAGUGCUUUCCCACGCAGACCUCGGAAAUUCAAAGGUGCCGUAUUUCUCUCCUGGCACCUCGGCGGGCACUGCGUUGCCUCCCUCCAAGGCCACCUCCUCACGAAGUCUUCAGCCUUUGCAUCCUCACCUCCCAGCCAUUUGGGGUGAGAGACUGUGGCUUUGGGGCUCGGGCAGUGCAGCCAACCCAUCCCAGGGCACACAGAGCACAUCUGGAGGCAGCUGCACCGGGGACCGCCUGCCUUCAGCCUGCGGAAGGGGAGCAGAGGCAAACCAGCUAUUUUGGGGGCUCCAAAAUAUUAUUAUCCCAAAGAGAAGUUGUAUUUACCAGGGCCAGAAGAGCCUCUCUCUGCACAUUCCAGGCUCGGGAAGUCUGCAAGAUCCCAGAGCGGCCGCUCUGGGAGGGGAAAAAAAAUCUCCUUUAGUCAGCUCAAAUGCUGGCCAGAGGUUUGCAGCCCAGUCCAGACACUGGAGAGCCGACCUUAAACGUUUCUGGGGCUGAAAGGGAGAUCUGCAGCCAGCUAAUGCUGGGAGAGACGGCUGAGCUUCCCAGCUCCAGUCCUGGCCCUCGAGGCGGGCGAGAAGCGGCUGGGAGGACGGGCAUGGCUUCGCAAGCCCCGGCGGCAUGCCAGCCCAUCCCGGAGAGGGGAAACCAGUUCACCCUGGCCUCGGGAAUUAGGAAAAUGUUGUCAGUUCGGGGCUGUGCUGCGAGGAAAAGUCUCCAGUGCAAAGGUCCAAGCACCCGUCUCCAGCCUCGUUAGCCGGUUAAAGCAUCAGAUGGAAACUAUGCUGCCCCGUCAGAAACUUAUCCUCUUUCGGACUCCUGGUUUUUUGGCUCCCAGAGCCUGGCAAGGCGGCAGGAGGAGGGGGGGAAGUGUCGUCAGUGUAGGUGGUGAAACACAUCAUUCACCCCGUCAGAGGUACCGCAGCUAGGAAUGGGUGAUGGAGGCAGCAGAGGUAAGGCACCAGGAGCUGCUUCUGGCACGCCCCCAGCCUCCUUCUCUGCAUCUCUUGGAGGAGCACAUCCCCAAGCACAGGGAUCUCUUUAUCACCCCUAAAACACGGUAACAGCCUGUUGCAGAAGCACAUCCAACCAGGCUGGGCAACCACAGCCGGGCAGACCCUGCUCCGGCAAACCACAGGCUCUGGGCUGCCUGCUCUGUAGCCUUCUUUCUCCUAACUUUGUUUUCUUUCCCCAAAGCUGUCCAUCCAUCUUCAGCUUUUCCUAAAAAAUAAAACUAAAUUAAAUAAAAUAUUCUUUCUCAUUUCA